GAAUUUUGCGCAAUGGGGGAAACCCUGACGCAGCAACGCCGCGUGAGUGAAGAAGGCCUUCGGGUCGUAAAGCUCUGUCAAGUGGGAAGAAAACCUAGCGAUUAAUAGUCGUUGGGUUUGAUGGUACCACUGGAGGAAGCACCGGCUAACUCCGUGCCAGCAGCCGCGGUAAUACGGAGGGUGCGAGCGUUGUUCGGAAUUAUUGGGCGUAAAGAGCGUGUAGGCGGUUUGGUAAGUCAGAUGUGAAAGCCCUGGGCUCAACCCAGGAAGUGCAUUUGAUACUGCCUUACUUGAGUAUGGGAGAGGAGAGUGGAAUUCCCAGUGUAGAGGUGAAAUUCGUAGAUAUUGGGAAGAACACCCGUGGCGAAGGCGACUCUCUGGACCAAUACUGACGCUGAGACGCGAAAGCGUGGGGAGCAAACAGGAUUAGAUACCCUGGUAGUCCACGCCGUAAACGAUGAGAACUAGGUGUAGCGGGUAUUGACCCCUGCUGUGCCGGAGCUAACGCAUUAAGUUCUCCGCCUGGGGAGUACGGCCGCAAGGCUAAAACUCAAAGGAAUUGACG
Molecule: ribosomal RNA, 565 nt
Filed under: uncultured bacterium
Lineage: Bacteria
Description: bacterial SSU rRNA
Rfam family: Bacterial small subunit ribosomal RNA
Source: RNAcentral